Molecule: ribosomal RNA, 529 nt
Filed under: uncultured bacterium
Lineage: Bacteria
Description: partial 16S ribosomal RNA
Rfam family: Bacterial small subunit ribosomal RNA
Source: RNAcentral
UGGGGAAUUUUGGACAAUGGGCGCAAGCCUGAUCCAGCCAUGCCGCGUGCGGGAAGAAGGCCUUCGGGUUGUAAACCGCUUUUGUCAGGGAAGAAAUCUUCUGAGUUAAUACCUCGGGAGGAUGACGGUACCUGAAGAAUAAGCACCGGCUAACUACGUGCCAGCAGCCGCGGUAAUACGUAGGGUGCAAGCGUUAAUCGGAAUUACUGGGCGUAAAGCGUGCGCAGGCGGUUUUGUAAGACAGAGGUGAAAUCCCCGGGCUCAACCUGGGAACUGCCUUUGUGACUGCAAGGCUUGAGUGCGGCAGAGGGGGAUGGAAUUCCGCGUGUAGCAGUGAAAUGCGUAGAUAUGCGGAGGAACACCGAUGGCGAAGGCCAAUCCCCUGGGCCUGCACUGACGCUCAUGCACGAAAGCGUGGGGAGCAAAACAGGAUUAGAUACCCUGGUAGUCCACGCCCUAAAACGAUGUCAACUGGUUGUUGGGAAGGUUCCUUCUCAGUAACGUAGCUAACGCGUGAAGUUGACCGCCU